GACGAACGCUGGCGGCGUGCCUAAUACAUGCAAGUCGAACGCUGAAGGAGGAGCUUGCUUCUCCGGAUGAGUUGCGAACGGGUGAGUAACGCGUAGGUAACCUGCCUGGUAGCGGGGGAUAACUAUUGGAAACGAUAGCUAAUACCGCAUAACAGUAGAUAUCGCAUGAUAUCUGCUUGAAAGGUGCAAUUGCAUCACUACCAGAUGGACCUGCGUUGUAUUAGCUAGUUGGUGAGGUAACGGCUCACCAAGGCGACGAUCCAUAGCCGACCUGAGAGGGGGAUCGGCCACACUGGGACGGGGACACGGCCCAGACGGCUACAGGAGGCAGCAGUAGGGAAACGUCGGCAAUGGACGGAAGACUGACCGAGCAACGCCGCGGGAGGGAAGAAGGUUGUCGGAUCGGAAAGCUCUGUUGUAAGAGAAGAACGAGUGUGAGGGUGGAAAGUUCACACUGUGACGGUAUCUUACCAGAAAGGGACGGCUAACUACGUG
This 495-nucleotide ribosomal RNA is filed under the name uncultured bacterium. RNAcentral describes it as "partial 16S ribosomal RNA". It matches the Rfam family "Bacterial small subunit ribosomal RNA", at positions 28 to 507 of the family's 1533-position model. The record is from RNAcentral.